RNAcentral lists this ribosomal RNA (492 nucleotides) under uncultured bacterium. Its description in RNAcentral is "partial 16S ribosomal RNA". It matches the Rfam family "Bacterial small subunit ribosomal RNA", at positions 29 to 507 of the family's 1533-position model. The record is from RNAcentral.
AGUGAACGCUGGCGGUAGGCCUAACACAUGCAAGUCGAACGGCAGCACAGUAAGAGCUUGCUCUUACGGGUGGCGAGUGGCGGACGGGUGAGGAAUACAUCGGAAUCUACUUUUUCGUGGGGGAUAACGUAGGGAAACUUACGCUAAUACCGCAUACGACCUACGGGUGAAAGCAGGGGAGCUUCGGACCUUGCGCGAUUGAAUGAGCCGAUGUCGGAUUAGCUAGUUGGCGGGGUAAAGGCCCACCAAGGCGACGAUCCGUAGCUGGUCUGAGAGGAUGAUCAGCCACACUGGAACUGAGACACGGUCCAGACUCCUACGGGAGGCAGCAGUGGGGAAUAUUGGACAAUGGGCGCAAGCCUGAUCCAGCCAUACCGCGUGGGUGAGGGAGGCCUUCGGGUUGUAAAGCCCUUUUGUUGGGAAAGAAAAGCAGCAGGUUAAUACCCCGCUGUUCUGACGGUACCCAAAGAAUAAGCACCGGCUAACUUCGCG